Molecule: non-coding RNA, 1541 nt
Organism: Lepisosteus oculatus (spotted gar)
Lineage: Eukaryota; Metazoa; Chordata; Actinopteri; Semionotiformes; Lepisosteidae
Source: RefSeq, a predicted model, not a curated record
UUGAACUUGAAAAAGCAAAAUAAAGAUGCCUAUUAGUGCCAUGGAGAAAAAAAAGAUAUUUGCAUUUAAACAAGAUAAUAUUGCGUAAAAACAAGCUAACAUUACAUUAUAAAGUGAUAAUUACUUCAUAAACGAUAUUGCCUAGUGUAUUAAUAUCUUGCAAUAUACUGUACAUGAAGUAAUACUGUCCCAUGCAACAUAGCACUGUUAUUAACAACAGAAGAAUAUUGUCACACUACUCUUUGAACAAAUUAAUUAGUCUUAAGGAGCAUGUGUUCUGUCUUUCGUUUACACAGAGUAGAACACCCUGUGAUUUAGCUUUCCUGGGUUAAACAUGUCUUUUUCACCAUUUCUGUGAAAAGCAGAAAUCACAUGGCUUUACAAAUGUGUGCUAUUAUUCAUGUGAAAAUCAAGAAGCAUGAGCUGUGCAUACUGUAAAUCUUUGCCUAAUCUUUAAACAUUGGACAGAAGACAUUUACAGGACGCUGACAGUAAGAUACUUACUGUUGGUUUACUCUUACAGCUAAUGAUUUGGUAGAUCAUUAAAUCUUUAAAGAAAAAAACUCAAAAGGUUUUAACCUAUGCUGACAUCAAAUGCUGAAUUUGAAAUUACACAGCAAAAUGCAGGAAACGUCAUUUGAAGGGAGAAGAAACAGCAUUGGUUUGCACAGACGAGACGUGAUUAUAAAGAGAUAGAGGGAAGCCAAACAAAAUGAAAGACAAUUAAAGGUUGGUACACAAGCCGUAGCCAACAGAGUAAUACAUUUAUGAAGAGAGCCCAUUUGCUGGGGAUGUGUUUGGAACACUAUCUUGUUUAUUGUUGAAUAUUUCCAUAGAUGCACAAAAUGCUCAAAGAGCCCGACUGCCAUGACUGGGUGGUACCCAAUCUUGAUGUCAACAGGCACAGGAAACACUGGUAUUCAGGCUGCAUUGAGUGAAAGUGAAUUCCGACCAGGAUACGUAACCACGGUGACCCAGUGCCUGGCCCAGGGACAGGGAAGAGACUCGUGCUCAAAGUGCAGAGCCGUGCGGACUUUGCUGCGUUGGAAGUCAUAUCUCCGGGGUAAUCUGAGGAUUCAUCCCAAACAUGAAGAUCCAGAAACUCAGAUUGAUACAAUUCUUGUAUCCCAAAAGAAAAUGGAUUUAAGUUUGAAAAUUUCACAGCCUUAUAAAAAUAUUUUCUUUUUGGACUUUAGAUCCCAAAUAACAUAAUUAAAAUGACAAGCUAUCUUUUGAUACUUUGAAAUUCAAUUUUGAUAACUAAGGAUGCAUGUGUUAUUGUAGUCAGAGAUCAGUUUAAACGUCUGAGACUUGAAGUUGAACAGCUAAUUUGAAUGUUAUACAGCUAUGAACUAUUUUAAAAUAAUCAGGUCAGAAAAAGUAUAAUGGUUCACUGUAUAGUAUCAUGCCUGAAGAAAAAGUGAAAGAGGCAUAUUAUGCAGGAAAUUAGAUAUUUUAUGAGAGUGAAAUGUGGUUUAAAAUACAAUUUUAAAUGUAUUUAAUGAGAAAUGUCAUAAUAAAGUUGGAAUUUUUAGGUUUAA